UACGUAGGGUGCAAGCGUUAAUCGGAAUUACUGGGCGUAAAGCGUGCGCAGGCGGUUUUGUAAGCCAGAUGUGAAAUCCCCGGGCUCAACCUGGGAAUGGCAUUUGGGACUGCAAGGCUGGAGUGCGGCAGAGGAGACUGGAAUUCCUGGUGUAGCAGUGAAAUGCGUAGAUAUCAGGAGGAAUACCGAUGGCGAAGGCAGGUCUCUGGGCUGACACUGACGCUCAUGCACGAAAGCGUGGGGAGCAAACAGG
This 253-nucleotide ribosomal RNA is filed under the name uncultured bacterium. RNAcentral's name for it is "partial 16S ribosomal RNA". It matches the Rfam family "Bacterial small subunit ribosomal RNA", at positions 524 to 776 of the family's 1533-position model. The record is from RNAcentral.